RNAcentral lists this ribosomal RNA (443 nucleotides) under uncultured prokaryote. Its description in RNAcentral is "bacterial SSU rRNA". It matches the Rfam family "Bacterial small subunit ribosomal RNA", at positions 355 to 796 of the family's 1533-position model. The record is from RNAcentral.
UAGGGAAUAUUGGUCAAUGGGCGAGAGCCUGAACCAGCCAUGCCGCGUGCAGGAAGACGGCCUUCUGGGUUGUAAACUGCUUUUAUACAGGAGCAAAAGGGCGAUGCGUCGCACAUUGAGAGUACUGUAUGAAUAAGCACCGGCUAACUCCGUGCCAGCAGCCGCGGUAAUACGGAGGGUGCAAGCGUUGUCCGGAUUUAUUGGGUUUAAAGGGUGCGUAGGCGGUUGAUUAAGUCAGUGGUGAAAGGUGUCAGCUUAACUGACAAAUUGCCAUUGAUACUGGUUAACUGGAGUGCAGUUGAGGUAGGCGGAAUUUAUGGUGUAGCGGUGAAAUGCAUAGAUACCAUAAAGAACACCGAUAGUGAAGACAGCUUACCAAGUUGUAACUGACGCUGAGGCACGAAAGCAUGGGUAGCGAACAGGAUUAGAUACCCCCGUAGUCC